CCCUUAGAUGUUCUGGGCUGCACGCGCGCUACACUGAUACUUUCAGCGAGUCCACCACCUUGCCUGAGAGGGUGGGGUAACCUCUGGAAAGUGUAUCGUGAUGGGGAUCGAUUAUUGUAAUUAUUAAUCUUCAACGAGGAAUUCCUUGUAAUCGCGAUUCAUCAUAUCGCGCUGAAUACGUCCCUGCCCUUUGUACACACCGCCCGUCGCUCCUACCGAUUGAGCGAUCCGGUGAAUGUUUUGGACUGGCGUCAGAAGCGGUUCGCUCCUGACACUACGAAAUUUUGUAAACCUUAUCGCUUAGAGGAAGGAAAAGUCGUAACA
Molecule: ribosomal RNA, 324 nt
Filed under: uncultured eukaryote
Lineage: Eukaryota
Description: partial 18S ribosomal RNA
Rfam family: Eukaryotic small subunit ribosomal RNA
Source: RNAcentral